Molecule: long non-coding RNA, 1746 nt
Organism: Hyla sarda
Lineage: Eukaryota; Metazoa; Chordata; Amphibia; Anura; Hylidae
Exons: 2
Source: RefSeq, a predicted model, not a curated record
GGGGCGUGAUGGCUGUCACGCCCCCUCCCAUAGACUUACAUUGUGGGGGUGGGGCUAUGACAUCACAAGCUCCCGACGCCGUCUCCAGUGUUCGGAACAGUUUGUUCCAAACGCUGAGCUGCAGAGUACCCCUUUAAUUUCUACAGUUACAGUUUAGUUCAGAUUGCUCUUUGGGAAAGCUGGAUGGCACGCAAACUGCCACCCAGCUUAUCCAGUCUCCUGAUUCCCUGCACUCCUCACUGCAGCAGUGCUGCCAUUCUCUCUCUCUCUCUCUCUCUCUCUCUCUCUCUCUCUCUCUCUCUCUCUCUCUCUGUGUGGUAUUACAACUUGGCUCCAUUCACUUCAAUGGAACUGAGCUGCAGAACCGCACCUAACCUGGAGACAGCCAGGGAGCGGUUUUUGAAAGAAAGUAGCUCAGUUUUUCUAUUCCUGGAUAACCCCUUUAAAGGGGUAGUCCUGGGGAACUCAACUUAGCCCCUAUCCACAGGAUAGGAGCUAAGUGUCUGAUCAUGGGGACCGCUGGGACCCGCUGAAAUCAUCUGUAAAGGGCCCAGUUUAUAUUUUUAAUUGUUGUUGGAAAUAAAAAAAAAAAUUUUUCUUUUUUUUUUUUACAUUUUAAAAUAAAAAUGUAUAUUUGUGAAUCCUCUGUUGAACAAACCCAAUUACUGUAGUUUUUUAGGACCCAAUGUUUCCCAACAGCUGGAGACACACUUGUUGGGAAACUCUACCAUAGACGGUACAUAAAGGGGCUUUUUUUUUUUGUCGAAACACAAAGUGUUACAUACAUAUAAGAUGACAUCUGGACACUCAAAUUGAUUCAGAUUUCUCUUUGGGACAGCUGGGUGGCACACCUACUGCAUGCCACCCAGCUUGUCCAAUCUCCUGAAUCCCCAGCAGAGAGAGGCUGCUCAUCCUCCCUCCACUCCUCACUCCGGCGGCACUUCCAUACCCUCUUCCUGUCCCCACACUGAUGUCUUCCCUCACUCCACUCCUGCCCCGCCCUGGCCCCUUUUGACCCCAAAAUGAGAACUUGGGGUCCAUUGGUCUUGGCAUUGGUAAUGGUCUCAAGAGGUUGGACCCCAACAAUUCCACCCUUGCUUCAAUUAUUGACUGUGAAGAAUCGGUCACAAUUGGCCAACAAUAGGUGCUUCCUCCGUAAACCCCUUGUUGGUGAGUAUAGCUGUGAAAUUGGGGGCACAUACUUUUCUUCAAUAUAUAUUUUUGUCCUCUCUGUGUCUUUAAGUUCUUUCUGUGCUUAUAAAUUACGGUGGCCGUUUAACCUCGAUUUGCCGCUUUUCUUUCCAUGCCACACUCAUAGGAAUCUAGGAUGCAGCCAUAGGGGGCGCUGUUUGCGUAUUCUGCAAGGUUAACGAGUCACAAAAUGUACUCUUUGACCCUGUAGAGUUCCUAUUUUUGGUAGUCAGAGGAAACAAAAUGGCGGACAGCUAAGGCGGUGUUCCAUAACUAGGCUUGCUCGAUCUCGUGUCGAUGUCACAUGGGAUGAGUUGGGGUUGGGUAUAGGAGUAACUGUGCUCGCCCCCGAAUUUUUAGGCCUUUUGUAUAGUACUGUAGUAAUAUUCCAGUCUUCUAUGGUGCCUUGUGAUGUUAUGCUGUGUGUCAGUUCGGGCCUGUGUUGCAUUUUGAAUUCUAUUCCUAUUCAAGAUGUUUCAGAUGUGGAAUUAAACUUAGCCGACACGUUUCGCAGCUAAAAAUGUAUUUUUCUAAUAAAAACUUAUGGUAACAUCA